UGCAGUCGAACGAUGAACCCUUUCGGGGGGGAUUAGUGGCGAACGGGUGAGUAACACGUGAGUAACCUGCCCUUGACUCUGGGAUAAGCCUGGGAAACCGGGUCUAAUACCGGAUACGACCUGUCACCGCAUGGUGUGCGGGUGGAAAGAUUUAUCGGUUUUGGAUGGACUCGCGGCCUAUCAGCUGGUUGGUGGGGUAAUGGCCCACCAAGGCGACGACGGGUAGCCGGCCUGAGAGGGUGACCGGCCACACUGGGACUGAGACACGGCCCAGACUCCUACGGGAGGCAGCAGUGGGGAAUAUUGCACAAUGGGCGCAAGCCUGAUGCAGCGACGCCGCGUGAGGGAUGACGGCCUUCGGGUUGUAAACCUCUUUCAGCAGGGAAGAAGCGCAAGUGACGGUACCUGCAGAAGAAGCGCCGGCUAACUACGUGCCAGCAGCCGCGGUAAUACGUAGGGCGCAAGCGUUAUCCGGAAUUAUUGGGCGUAAAGAGCUCGUAGGCGGUUUGUCGCGUCUGCUGUGAAAGCCCGGGGCUCAACCCCGGGUCUGCAGUGGGUACGGGCAGACUGGAGUGCAGUAGGGGAGACCGGAAUUCCUGGUGUAGCGGUGAAAUGCGCAGAUAUCAGGAGGAACACCGAUGGCGAAGGCAGGUCUCUGGGCUGUAACUGACGCUGAGGAGCGAAAGCAUGGGGAGCGAACAGGAUUAGAUACCCUGGUAGUCCAUGCCGUAAACGUUGGGCACUAGGUGUGGGGGACAUUCCACGUUUUCCGCGCCGUAGCUAACGCAUUAAGUGCCCCGCCUGGGGAGUACGGCCGCAAGGCUAAAACUCAAAGGAAUUGACGGGGGCCCGCACAAGCGGCGGAGCAUGCGGAUUAAUUCGAUGCAACGCGAAGAACCUUACCAAGGCUUGACAUGGGCCGGACCGGGCUGGAAACAGUCCUUCCCUUCGGGGCCGGUUUACAGGUGGUGCAUGGUUGUCGUCAGCUCGUGUCGUGAGAUGUUGGGUUAAGUCCCGCAACGAGCGCAACCCUCGUUCCAUGUUGCCAGCACGUGAUGGUGGGGACUCAUGGAGACUGCCGGGGUCACUCGGAGGAAGGGGGGACGACGUCAAUCAUCAUGCCCCUUAUGUCUUGGGCUUCNGCAUGCUACAUGGCCGUACAUGGGUUGCA
This 1171-nucleotide ribosomal RNA is filed under the name uncultured Arthrobacter sp. Its description in RNAcentral is "bacterial SSU rRNA". It matches the Rfam family "Bacterial small subunit ribosomal RNA", at positions 56 to 1251 of the family's 1533-position model. Lineage: Bacteria; Bacillati; Actinomycetota; Actinomycetes; Micrococcales; Micrococcaceae. The record is from RNAcentral.